UAUAUACUAAUUCUCAGUUAACUGUUCAUCGGCUUAGUAACAGUGCCGGCUCGAGCCGAGCCGUUAAUGUGAAAAGACCAUUUUGCCCUUCGUCUGUUGGAAUAAUUACGGUUUGCUGUUUGACCUACCUAUAAAAUGUGCUGAACUGAUAGAAGCGAUCUUUUUCCUCUCUCUUCGUUUUUCAGCUGAGUUCUGCGUUCUAUUGUUGACAGAGAGUGAGAGAGAGGGAGAGGGUUGGUAACAGUGGGGGUUUCGGAUUCUCGGUUUCGAUUGAGCUGGCAAUCUUUUCAUCAAAUCAGACGAUCCGAUUGAGCAAUCAUAUAUCUUUGAGACUUUGAGCUUCAGAUACAUCAGGAGAAGUCCAUCGCAAUAUGACAGAUUGGAAGGUGCAUGCAUGUGAAGGUAUGUGGGUAUGUGGGUUUAUCUAGCUGUGUUUGGUUUGGCAUUUGAAUUUGGUUUUGUGGGUGAUUUAGCAUUUUUUUUAAUCUGGGUUUUGUGUGGGUUUGCAUUAGAGCUGUGUUAUGUGGAAUUAGAUAUGGGAAGUAGUUAGAUUUAGCAAAUCGUGUCAUGCAUCUGUUAGUAUAUAUCAUUUUUUGCUUUGUUGUUAUUUCUGCGAGCAAUUUUUCAUUUGGUGUCUUUAUGAACACUUCUUUUUUCUUCUUUUUUUCGUUCCAGGUGUAGCAUCUUUCUUAUUCAUACUGUAUUGGAUUAUUGUAUGGAGUUGAUUCUGUCUUAUUUCGAUGAGGUGAAGAAGGUAGGUAACUCAGAGAAAAGGAAGAGGGGGACGGGAACAAUCGCUUUGGCAUCGUUUAUAUUUGAAGUUUGAUCAUGUCUAGCUCAUAAUUGUUGAAUGGAAUCAUAUAUCCCAAUUUCAACUGUACCAAUGAUAGCACAGUGAAACAAAUGUUCAAUUGAUAGGUGUAUCAAUACGUAAUGGAAGAGAAAUCCUUUUAAAGGACGAUUGGAGAAGGUUAGAGGAGCCUUAUGGAAGUAUAUUCAUAACUAUUCCAACUGUUCUUGAUUCAUCAUUGGCUCCAGCAGGGCACCGUAUUCUUCAUAUUUACGACCUCUUCCAUUGAAGACUGGGAGGGACUUCUCUCGAAAGGACUAUGAAUCAAAGGAGCUUAUGGCAGAUGUCAUCAUUAGCAGAUUAGAGAAGAUACUAUUUCCAGGGCUUAAGUCAUCCAUCGUUUUUAAGGAGGUAAUGCUUACAGUAUUGAUUCCAAUCAUUGUGAGCUAUGGGUGUUGAUUCGUAUUGAAUAAAGGGUUGGUUGAAACUUGAACUUAUUGUGGUUUAAGUAAACUUACAAUUCCUGUAUCCAACUUCCUUUUGGCACAUUGCAGUAUUAAACAUGUCCAUUGCUCUGGCUAUUGCUAUUUGGGAUAAAAAAAAAAAAUUAUUUCCUUUUUUCAUUAUGAAACUUGCCUCCUUUAUAAUUUCUGACUUUUACUGUCUCUUUUAUAAUUUCUUACUUUCACAAUGACAGGGAGACCAACAUUGAAUCAGCAACACCAUCGACCAAAACCAUCAACAAAGAAAAAAUGGACUGAAAUGUCAUGACACUUUUGGUGUAAAUAGAACUGGAGGAAGCAACUUUUUGGACAACCUCCACCACUGAUCAUCACUAGCUAACAACUUCUUAGCACACAUAUAUGCUAAUGGAGAUCAUCACUUAUUUUUGGCAAGCAGAUUAGGCAUUCAUUGUAAUUAAGUUAGCCUACAAGUAGAACAACUUAUUUUUGGCAAGCUGUUCCAACAGCAACUGUAACCUGUUUUUGAACACUAGAUUUUAGUAAAACAAGCUCUUAACGAGA
This is an RNA transcript of Rosa rugosa (rugosa rose), 1815 nucleotides long. RefSeq lists it as uncharacterized. The transcript has 9 exons. The record is from RefSeq and is a predicted model, not a curated record. NCBI's taxonomy places the organism in Eukaryota, Viridiplantae, Streptophyta, Magnoliopsida, Rosales, Rosaceae.